This 4670-nucleotide long non-coding RNA is filed under the name Brassica napus (rape). Its description in RNAcentral is "long non-coding RNA (BNAP_LNC002543)". Lineage: Eukaryota; Viridiplantae; Streptophyta; Magnoliopsida; Brassicales; Brassicaceae. The record is from RNAcentral.
CCUUAGAACCAGUGUGGUUGGACACAAGAAGCUCUGGAUCACGGCCUACUAGGUGCAGCAACUCUUCACAGCUUUGCGCACACUUCACACUUCAGCUUCACCUCUCCAUGGAACCGGUUUGAAGUCUCCCCCUCUCAACUGACUUCACAGCCAUCCUAGAGAAGCUAGGACACAACCAGAUCAUCUUCAAAACACCAGUGAGGCUGAUCAACACUUCACACACGGCUUGCCCUCUUUAUAGAACUGGUUUGGAUAUCCCCUUCUCAACAGACUUCACAGCCACCUUAGAGAAGCUAGGAAAUGACCAGGAACACCUUUAGUGAGGCUCAAGCAAUGGUACCUGAUACAUUAUCCCAAAGGUGCAUCAGAACCUAUCAAAAACAAGACAAUGAAUAUCCUGCAUCACACUUGAUGCACACAAUCCCAUAAUUCAAUCAUGAGCAUCUUAAGUAUCUUUUCAAGCACAAGCAAUGAAUAAGAUGAAUGAAAAAGAUUGAAGAAAGAGUUUAAAAGUCUAAGGGAACUUCCCUUGUGUUUUUGUGAGUUUCCUAACUCGGCCAAUGCACCAUCUUCAUGGCAUCAUCAACUUCUUGGAAAGGCAGAAUGGAUUCAUCAGCUUCUCCUCAAUCACCUCUCAUUGAAGCCGCAUUGAUGGAGAGCCUUCUUCCUCACUCGCCAAGACUGCUCUGAACAGCCUCUUACCUAGACACGCCACUGACUUGGUCCGGUUGAUGAUCCUUUGUAGAAGCCUUUGCAAAGACUUGUUACUGACCAUGGAUCAUAUGCAUUAAGACUCCCCCUCAAGCUUAGAACCGAGACUAGAAGGAGCUAAGCUUGUGAUGAUCCUAUGCAUCUCCAUGGUCUAAUAACUAUCAUCUUUUAUGAUAGCUUUCUUCUUGUGAGUUUACUCUCUUCCUUAACCAGGAACUAGGGUGUUUGAAUCACCAUAGAGAGCCUCACAAGACACACUUCUCAUUGCAUAAUGACCCAUGCUACACUUCCUGUAGACUUUGGACUGGAUAUUUCCAAUGGUAUUAUGCAAUGGCCAUCUCUCAUUGCAUAAUCAAUCACACUACACUUCCUGUAGAUUAUGGACUAACAUGUCCUAGUGAUGAUAUGCAAUGGCACUAGACCUUUGUCUCUACAUUCUUGGCUGUUGGCGAGUUACAUGUAUCACUCCUUGUGUACCUAACACCACCACAACUCAAUGCAAGAUCAGAUCAUUCCAUUGGGAUCAACCCAAGAUCAUCCAUCCUGUUUGAUCACCAAUGCCACAAUAAUAUAUGAUACUUGAAACAAGCUAGACAAUCAAGACAAGAAUAUGCAAAGACAAUGUAUGCUUUCAACAAUACACUGAUCCCUUUAGAUUCAAUUUAGUUUCAGUUAUUAUUUUUUUUUUAAAUGCAACAAUAGAUGAACGCAUUAGAUUACACACUAACCAUAUGAAUGAACCAGAUUCAAUUCAAAUGAACACAAGACUAGAUGGUACUUAUGCAAUCAAGACAAUAAGCGUGACUAUGAUUCAAGUAGCUUAUGCUUAUGCUCACUAGUUUUAUCACAGCCAAUGAUUCAAGUAGCUUAGACAUACUUCUAAAUGCUUAUAAGACAUCACUGAUGGAUUUAACUAUGGCAUAACAACACUCAGAACUGGACAGAGUCAAGACAAGUAGAUUUCAAUCUCUAACAAUGACAAUGCAAGUUCUAGAUACUACAAUGACAUCCUAGGUUAUUAUGAUUAUUAAGUUCUCUAAAUGCAAUGCAAGCUUACAUCAGUACAUUUGCAAUUUAGGCUCAUUUUUAAAUGCAUUACUACAUGAAUGCACAAUCUUAAAACAUCAGCUAUAUGAAUGCAACAGGUUCAAUCCAUGAUUAAUAUUAAAGUUAUGCACAACAGUUUCAAUCAGAACCAAUGAUGCAAGCAACUUAGACAAUUUCUAAUUGAUGCAAGACUUUCAUUGAUGGAUUAAACAUAGACAAUAGCAUCAGAUAACACUAGGAUUGAACUUAGACAGUAUGAGAUAUGCAAAAUAACUUAUCAAUCAUGAUGCAAGUAGCAGAGACAUUCUACUCAAUUCUACAACACAUUCAUGAUGAUUCAAGUUUAAGACCACACCCAAGACAAUGCAAUAAACAGACCGUGAGUUUCUGGGACUCUAGACAUUACUUAUUAUCAAUAAGACAAUGCAGUAACAACACAAUUUCAGUGCAAUUAGCCUAGACAUUCUACUAGAAGCUAUAAACUCUUAAUGGAAUUAGGGAAAGCACAUAGUAUAAUCAGGAGAUAAAACUAUCAAGACAUAUUAAGGUAGAUGAGAUUAGGUUUACUCCCUUGGUUAAGAUGAUGAGGAGUGGUUCUCAACGUUACCACUUGAAUCCUUACUUCUUCUUCUUCUUCUCUUAUUGCAAUCACCCUUCUGAAUUCACCACCAUGAUGGAAUGCUUGUGGAUGCUUCAGCUACUUCUUCAAUCACCUCACAAUAGAAGCCGCCUUGAUAGAGUAGCCUUCUUCUUCACACAGCCAAGAGUGCUCUGUCUUAGUUUGAGCACCCUCUUGAAUAGGCACGCCACUGCCUAGACCCGGUUGGCUUCUUCUUCUGGUACUUGCAAUGUUGAGAAGAAGAACACUAGUGAGUUUUACAACCAUCUGUGCUUCUCCCUUCUUGUAACACCUCUCCAUUGUACACACAAUGGGCAUCUUCUUUCUCUUUCAACUUGGAUUUGAUGAUGAACUAGGAACACCUUUUGUGAACCUGAAACAUCACUCAAACUCUAGCAAAGAUAAGACACAAUUGCAUUGGGAUCAAUCCUUGACUUCAUCAAGUUUGAUCACCAAUGUCUCAAGCUUUAUAACAUUAGAUAGAAUCAAGACAAUGUCAAGUUCUUAUCUAUGCAAGCAACCAUUCUCUAAAUACUAAACAAGACCUUAUCAGAUUCAAGUCAAGUUACUUAGGCACUCUUAAGAGCUUCUUUACUCAGUACUUAGACAUGAAUCUAAUACUUCAAUGUAAGACAGCCACAAGACUAUAUGCAACAGCUUUAAAUUCGGUUUCACUCCAUGUAUGCAAGCAGAUUUAAUUAAUCACAACAAGCAUCACUAUGAACCGGAGCUAAGCAUACUAAACAAUUUCAAUACCCAAACAAGACUCUUAAAGUAUCCUGGGACAGAUUCUAAAGCAACUUCAUUUUAGCAAUAUUUUAAACAAUCCUCAGGUUUCCAAUAACAUCACAACAAAACAACCUGUUCAUACACUCAAGCUUUAUACAAGAGAAAGAGAUUUCCUUACAGCCAAGGAACUAGUGUUAGUUCCUUGAAACUCCAUAGAACAUGGCAAGACAGUGAGCUGUUGGUGUCGAUUCCAACUUCUCCUUCUCCCAUGGACCUUUCUCUUGAACUUUCCAUGUCAGUUUUCAGAGUACCAGUACUUGAGUGAUGUAAGAACAGAUGAGAGAUUGUUGUGUGAUGAAGUAUGAAGAAUAGAAAUGAGUUUAAGAGAAUCAAAGAGAGUAUGGGAGAGACUGAGAACGUGUAUGGGAGAUUAGAGAGAGACUUAGUAACCAGAGAAUAAGAUCCAAGAACAAGUUUAUGAAGAAGAGAGACUCUCUCAGCUUAAGGGUUUACAAAGUGAUCAUAAGAGGCUUAUAUAUGCCUUUACACAACUCAGAUCACAAACCUAGAUCCUAAGGCUGUAAAUACAAGAUAGAAUGGAUGGUAAGGAUGAGAGAAGACUGGUCUUGAUGUUCUGGUUCUUAGCUGGCGACUUGAUCCAAUGUAAAGGGCUCAGAUUGCUUCAUUUGAAUUGAAUGGAUAGGAUGAGUCAAGGCUGUAAAGGUAAAGCACCUUUACCUUUCCAGCUCAUACCAACAGCUCACCUUAUCCAUUUGAAUCUUCCCUUGCCUCCAAGAGUCUCCAACGGUCACAUGAUUCAACCUAAGUCGCGCCCACACAUUGCACAACUUGGGCAAGGCUGAUCCGGGUGAUGACCGAACCAGAUAGGAUGUACGGACGCUGUACGGCCUUGAGGUCCGUACACUCGCCCUAUGCCUUCAUCCAACUUCCUUCUAAGGUUGACCCUUACAACGCCCUAUCUUUGCACCAUACAUCCAUCUUCUCUCUAACUCCUCCAAAGCCUUCACAUGAUCAGUAUAAGUCUUUCCUAGACUUAACUUCACAAGAUAACUACUUCAGAACACUUCUGAAGCUUGAUUGAACUCUUCUAGACAUCUUCUAGAGCUUGCCCUAUUAUUGUACAAGCUCCAUCUUCUCUUCAGUUCAACACUCCCCCUCAAGCUUAACUUUAGUUGAUCCUAAGUUAAGCUUGGAACUCUGAAGAGUCUCCCUCAUUAAAAACCUUACAAGGAAAACCCAUUGGGACAAAACCUUGCAAGGGAAAAAGAGUAGAGCUCUCCAAAGCCUAGGGAUUAGCCAGUGAGCUCUUGUGCCUUAGAACCAGUGUGGUUGGACACAAGAAGCUCUGGAUCAUGGCCUACUAGGUGCAGCAACUCUUCAGAGCUUUGCGCACACUUCACACUUCAGCUUCACCUCUUCAUGGAACCGGUUUGAAGUCUCCCCCUCUCAACUGACUUCACAGCCAUCCUAGAGAAGCUAGGACGCAACCAGAUCAUCUUCAAAACACCAGUGAGGCUGAUCAACAAUUCACACGGCUUGCCCU